CACCGCCCGUCACACCACGAGAGUUUACAACACCCGAAGUCGGUGAGGUAACCGCAAGGGGCCAGCCGCCGAAGGUGGGGUAGAUGAUUGGGGUGAAGUCGUAACAAGGUAGCCGUAUCGGAAGGUGCGGCUG
This 133-nucleotide non-coding RNA is filed under the name Paenibacillus macerans. RNAcentral describes it as "Bacterial small subunit ribosomal RNA". It matches the Rfam family "Bacterial small subunit ribosomal RNA", at positions 1388 to 1520 of the family's 1533-position model. Lineage: Bacteria; Bacillati; Bacillota; Bacilli; Caryophanales; Paenibacillaceae. The record is from Rfam by way of RNAcentral.